GAUGAACGCUGGCGGCGUGCCUAAUACAUGCAAGUCGAGCGAACAGACGAGGAGCUUGCUCCUCUGACGUUAGCGGCGGACGGGUGAGUAACACGUGGAUAACUUACCUAUAAGACUGGGAUAACUUCGGGAAACCGGAGCUAAUACCGGAUAAUAUAUUGAACCGCAUGGUUCAAUAGUGAAAGACGGUUUUGCUGUCACUUAUAGAUGGAUCCGCGCCGCAUUAGCUAGUUGGUAAGGUAACGGCUUACCAAGGCAACGAUGCGUAGCCGACCUGAGAGGGUGAUCGGCCACACUGGAACUGAGACACGGUCCAGACUCCUACGGGAGGCAGCAGUAGGGAAUCUUCCGCAAUGGGCGAAAGCCUGACGGAGCAACGCCGCGUGAGUGAUGAAGGUCUUCGGAUCGUAAAACUCUGUUAUUAGGGAAGAACAAAUGUGUAAGUAACUAUGCACGUCUUGGCGGUACCUAAUCAGAAAGCCACGGCUAACUACGU
This 496-nucleotide ribosomal RNA is filed under the name uncultured bacterium. Its description in RNAcentral is "partial 16S ribosomal RNA". It matches the Rfam family "Bacterial small subunit ribosomal RNA", at positions 28 to 506 of the family's 1533-position model. The record is from RNAcentral.